RNAcentral lists this long non-coding RNA (2468 nucleotides) under Mus musculus (house mouse). RNAcentral's name for it is "long non-coding RNA chr1:13074660-13077128". The record is from RNAcentral. Lineage: Eukaryota; Metazoa; Chordata; Mammalia; Rodentia; Muridae.
AGUUACAAAGUGGUGCUUUUCUUUGUUCCAAAGGUGGGCUGAGUGCUUCAUUUUAAGCUAAGUAGAUCUCCAAGAGCACAGAGAGCUCGUCCCCAGGGUCCCGCAGCACCUUCAGGCAAGUACAAUUAGGCAAAGACCUCGGAAAACCCCUGGAGGGUUUCAAAACUUACCCCCUCCCUCAGACUCCAACCUGCUAAUCUAAUGCUAAUCUUUGCUCAGAAACUACAGGUAUUUUAACACCAACUAAUUAGGUUUGCUAGUUCUCCGGGCGUAGGCCGGGUCUUUCCUAAAGCUUGAUGUGUGUGUUAUUAGCUAAGUGGGUCUAUAUACUCCCGAAAGCUCGCCUGACCCUUUUCCAUGACACAGAAGUCAAUGAAUGGAUUGAUAAGACCACAAAGGAGACAGGGGGCAUUUGUGCGCAGUGAUUUCUCCUUUAAAGAAAUGAUUAACUGACAGAGUCUAUUGAAUGCCAAAAUCUAACAUCAGAUUUUAUUCUUAAACCAAUGCAGUUUAAUACAGUGGUUAUAAGAUAAACAUUUUUAUUAGUCCACAGAGAAUUCCUGGGGAAACUUGGCAUAAGCUCAAGAUUCAAACAAAGAUCAUGAUUCUCAAUUAAUUUCUGUGUCUCUGAGUCUGUCUGUCUGUCUCCCCCCUCCUUACCUCUUCUUUGCUCCAUCUUUCCUGCUUCUCUUCUUCUCUCUCCAUCUAUCUGCUUAGGCAUGUAAGUGCCCUCUACCUCAGGCCUUUUAAUGUCUGUGUUUGGAGAAGUUCAGUUCUUGUGCACUCUACAAAAUUCCUGCAUCCUAAUCAAUGAUGCUCCUGCUUCCUUUACUCCUCGUCCCCUCCCUCCCUCCCUUCCUUUCUUUCUUUCAAUUUUUUUUAAAUAGUCACAUUUAUAUUUUAUUGUUUAUAUUUUAUUGAACACUAUAAAUAUAGAGAAACGCUAACAUAUGUAGGAGGAUGUAAAUUAGUAGCAUGCAAACAUGCCACUUCAUAUAAAGGCUUGAGUUGCCAAGGAUUUUAGCAGCCAACCAGCUUUAGGGGUAGCUUCAGAGAUCCCCCAUGAGCCGGGCAGUGGUGGUGCACGCCUUUAAUCCCAGCACUUGGGAGGCAGAGACAGGCAGAUUUCUGAGUUCGAGGCCAGCCUGGUCUACAAAGUGAGUUCCAGGACAGCCAAGACUAUACAGAGAAACCCUGUCUCGAAAAACCAAAAAAAAAAAAAAAAAAAGAAAUCCCCCAUGAAUGCUGAUGGAUACUCAGGGUACUCUGGAGAAUGAGAAAGAUUACAACAUUGCCGACAUUGCCGACAUUGCCUCCCACAGCUAUGGAGUUGAAGUCCACAAACCUGCAAGUUGGAAAUGUGGGAGAAUGAGGGUUUAGUUCCAGGUGGAAUGUGCGUGGGCCUGAGGACCAGGACAGCAGGUGUUCCAAGUUCCAGUCUGAGUCCGCUGUGGUUUGCCCCCCAAGUUCGUGUGCUAGAAGCUUGGUUCUCGUUGUGGUGCGACCUUUAACGCUGCUUAGUACUACACAGGGUCAGGCAUUAAGCCCUUGGACGGAUCAGUGCUGGUCCUGAAGAGCAGGUGAGUUUUCCAAGAGUGGGUGCUUAGGAAGCGAGGCUACACAACAAGGUUGAUCUCUUGUGAUCAUAAAGUGAUUCCUUGGCUGCUUCUCCUCUGGGUUGUUUCAGCCACAGAUGCCGUCCGAAGCUGAUGCUGGUGACAGUCACUUGAAUCUUUAAAGUGGACUGAAUGAAGCUCUUUCUCCGUCAGUCAAUCGUGGAAGGGGUGUGGCCUCGUCUUGGCGCAGCCACAAGGUCAGCUCUGUCCGAGAUGUAGGUGUGGGCUUCCCACAAGCGUCCUGGGGUGGAGGUGAGGUGAGGUGAGGUAGGAGGGAGGCACGGCUCCCGCAGCGGCCUCUUUCAAUUUUGUUUUUUGCUUUUUACCACCUUGUUCAACAAAGCUGUGGCUAUCCUAAAACUCACUAUACAGCUGAAGCUGACCUUAAGCCCUUAAUCCUCCUGCCUCAGCUUCCAAGUACUGGUAUGGCCUCACAAUUCACCCCCCCCCCCAAACACACACGGGCACGCACGUGCACACACACACACAACACACCCAUGGUUCUUUUCCUGCCCCACCAGCAGAGCUGAAUCUUCGCCCCUCUUCUCCAGCCUCAAGCACAAAGCAGCCCCACAAGUCUCUGAGAAGAGGAACAACUUUGCUAACUGUUGGGGCUUUUGUGUUUGUCUGUAUAUUUUUGGUGUUCCUGGACAUGGAUCCUGAGGCUCUUGAGUGUUAAAUCCCACCUAGCUAUAUUCCCCUCCAAGGCCUCCAUUUUAUUGGUCUUUAUCUCCUUUAAACCUGAUUUACCUUGGUUUGUUUUUUGCUUUCUUGUCUGCUUUUUGAGAAAGUGUCUCACUCUGUAGAGUGAGCUGGUCUUGUGUUUUCAAGGGUCCACCUUGCCUCAGCCCA